This 293-nucleotide ribosomal RNA is filed under the name uncultured eukaryote. RNAcentral describes it as "partial 18S ribosomal RNA". It matches the Rfam family "Eukaryotic small subunit ribosomal RNA", at positions 6 to 303 of the family's 1831-position model. The record is from RNAcentral.
GGUUGAUCCUGCCAGUAUUAUAUGCUGAUGUUAAAGAUUAAGCCAUGCAUGUGUAAGUUUAAAGACCUAGUAAGAUGAAACUGCGGACGGCUCAUUAUAACAGUAAUAGUUUCUUUGGUUAGUAAGUACAAGGAUAACUUUGUGAAUGAUAAAGCUAAUACUUGAGACGAUCCAGGGAGUAUUUAUACUUCAGGGCCGUUGACCGUAAGGUUAACGAAUAAUGACGUUCACUUGUGAAAAAGGACGCCACGACAAUUGACGAAAGCUACGCUUUUUACAAGUAACCAAUUAGA